GAUGAAGAACGCAGCGAAAUGCGAUACGUAAUGUGAAUUGCAGAAUUCAGUGAAUCAUCGAGUCUUUGAACGCACAUUGCGCCCCCUGGUAUUCCGGGGGGCAUGCCUGUCCGAGCGUCAUUGCUGCCCUCAAGCACGGCUUGUGUGUUGGGCCUCCGUCCUCCUCCCGGGGGACGGGCCCGAAAGGCAGCGGCGGCACCGCGUCCGGUCCUCGAGCGUAUGGGGCUUCGUCACCCGCUCUUGUAGGCCCGGCCGGCGCUUGCCGACACAUCAAUCUUUUUUCCAGGUUGGCCUCGGAUCAGGUAGGGAUACCCGCUGAACUUAAGCAUAUCAAUAAGCGAGGA
RNAcentral lists this unclassified non-coding RNA (344 nucleotides) under soil metagenome. RNAcentral describes it as "partial contains 5.8S ribosomal RNA, internal transcribed spacer 2, and large subunit ribosomal RNA". The stretch from base 1 to 120 matches the Rfam family "5.8S ribosomal RNA", at positions 35 to 154 of the family's 154-position model. The record is from RNAcentral.